UCAAUAAGCGGAGGAAAAGAAACUAACAAGGAUUCCCCUAGUAACGGCGAGUGAAGCGGGAAGAGCUCAAAUUUGUAAUCUGGCGGCCCCCGGCCGUCCGAGUUGUAGUCUGGAGAAGCGUUUUCCGUACCGGACCGUGUACAAGUCCCUUGGAACAGGGCGUCGUAGAGGGUGAGAAUCCCGUCUUUGACACGGACUGCCGGUGCUCUGUGAUGCGCUCUYGAAGAGUCGAGUUGUUUGGGAAUGCAGCUCAAAACGGGUGGUAAAUUCCAUCUAAAGCUAAAUAUGGGCGAAAGACCGAUAGCGAACAAGUACCGUGAGGGAAAGAUGAAAAGCACUUUGGAAAGAGAGUUAAACAGUACGUGAAAUUGUUGAAAGGGAAACGCUUGAAGUCAGUCGCGUCUUCCGAGACUCAACCGGGCACUUYRCCCGGCGCACUUCUCGGUGUGACGGGCCAGCAUCGAUUUCGACCGUCGGAGAAAGGCCUUGGGAAUGUGGCACCUUCGGGUGUGUUAUAGCCCUCGGUCGUAUGCGACGGUCGGGAUCGAGGACCGCAGCGCGCCCUUCACCGGGCCGGGGUUCGCCCACGUAACGCGCUUAGGAUGC
This 606-nucleotide ribosomal RNA is filed under the name Phlebogaster laurisylvicola. Its description in RNAcentral is "eukaryotic LSU rRNA". It matches the Rfam family "Eukaryotic large subunit ribosomal RNA", at positions 43 to 626 of the family's 3401-position model. The record is from RNAcentral. Lineage: Eukaryota; Fungi; Basidiomycota; Agaricomycetes; Hysterangiales; Hysterangiaceae.